RNAcentral lists this ribosomal RNA (250 nucleotides) under Escherichia coli. RNAcentral describes it as "partial 16S ribosomal RNA". It matches the Rfam family "Bacterial small subunit ribosomal RNA", at positions 84 to 337 of the family's 1533-position model. The record is from RNAcentral. Lineage: Bacteria; Pseudomonadati; Pseudomonadota; Gammaproteobacteria; Enterobacterales; Enterobacteriaceae.
UUCGCUGACGAGUGGCGGACGGGUGAGUAAUGUCUGGGAAACUGCCUGAUGGAGGGGGAUAACUACUGGAAACGGUAGCUAAUACCGCAUAACGUCGCAAGACCAAAGAGGGGGACCUUCGGACCUCUUGCCAUCGGAUGUGCCCAGAUGGGAUUAGCUAGUAGGUGGGGUAACGGCUCACCUAGGCGACGAUCCCUAGCUGGUCUGAGAGGAUGACCAGCCACACUGGAACUGAGACACGGUCCAGACU